CUGUCACUUGCUGCGGGCAGAUGUAGUGGAUGUGUGCGUCCACCGCCCCUGCGGUCACGAUUAGCUUCUCGCCUGCGAUGACCUCCGUCGCGGAACCGAUGAUGAGGUCAGGGUGCACAUUUGCCAUGACAUCGGGGUUUCCGGCUUUGCCUAUGCCCACGAUCUUACCGUACUUAACGCCGAUGUCCGCCUGCGCGACAAGUGAGUAGGUUUGUGCCCUCAAUGAUUCACGGAGUGCCGAGCACCUUGUAGAUUCCGCUCCAAUCCACAAUCAAUGCGUUGGUGAUGACUAGAUCCAACGUCUCCUGCUCGGAUCGGUUGGUUGCCUGCCCCAUCCCCUCUCUG
Postia placenta Mad-698-R is the source of this 345-nucleotide non-coding RNA. The record is from Rfam. Lineage: Eukaryota; Fungi; Basidiomycota; Agaricomycetes; Polyporales; Adustoporiaceae.